This 905-nucleotide ribosomal RNA is filed under the name uncultured bacterium. Its description in RNAcentral is "bacterial SSU rRNA". It matches the Rfam family "Bacterial small subunit ribosomal RNA", at positions 89 to 1012 of the family's 1533-position model. The record is from RNAcentral.
UCGUUAGUGGCGAACGGCUGAGUAACGCGUAGGUGACCUGCCCCGAAGUGGGGGAUAACUGCCCGAAAGGGUGGCUAAUACCGCAUGUGGCGACGCUUUCAUUGGCGUCAUCAAAGCCGCGAGGCGCUUCGGGAGGGGCCUGCGUCCGAUUAGCUCGUUGGUGGGGUAAUGGCUCACCAAGGCGACGAUCGGUAGGUGGUCUGAGAGGACGAUCACCCAGACUGGGACUGAGACACGGCCCAGACUCCUACGGGAGGCAGCAGUCGGGAAUUUUGCUCAAUGGGGGAAACCCUGAAGCAGCAACGCCGCGUGCGGGAUGAAGGCCUUCGGGUUGUAAACCGCUUUUACCAGGGACGAUAGUGACGGUACCUGAUGAAUAAGUCACGGCUAACUACGUGCCAGCAGCCGCGGUAAUACGUAGGUGACUAGCGUUGUCCGGAUUUACUGGGCGUAAAGAGCGCGCAGGCGGUCGUUCAAGUCGAGUGUGAAAGCCCCCGGCUCAACUGGGGAGGGUCAUUCGAUACUGAUCGACUCGAAGGCAGGAGAGGGAAGCGGAAUUCCCGGUGUAGUGGUGAAAUGCGUAGAUAUCGGGAGGAACACCAGUGGCGAAGGCGGCUUCCUGGCCUGUCCUUGACGCUGAGGCGCGAAAGCUAGGGGAGCAAACGGGAUUAGAUACCCCGGUAGUCCUAGCCGUAAACGAUGGACACUAGGUGUUGGUGGUAUCAACCCCACCAGUGCCGAAGCUAACGCAUUAAGUGUCCCGCCUGGGGAGUACGGCCGCAAGGCUAAAACUCAAAGGAAUUGACGGGGCCCCGCACAAGCAGCGGAGCGUGGGGUUUGAUUCGAUGCAACGCGAAGAACCUUACCAAGGCUUGACAUGACCAGGAAUCCGGCGGAAACGUCGG